RNAcentral lists this non-coding RNA (97 nucleotides) under Lingulaulax polyedra. The record is from RNAcentral. Lineage: Eukaryota; Dinophyceae; Gonyaulacales; Lingulodiniaceae.
UACCUUCGAGCAGCUCGGGGGCCUGGCGUCCCGCUGGCUCUUCGGGGUCCGAAAGAUGGCGACGCCCCCGGAGAUGCACGGGGAGUCCGCGUUUGCG